Long non-coding RNA from Osmerus eperlanus (European smelt), 643 nucleotides. RefSeq lists it as uncharacterized. The transcript has 3 exons. The record is from RefSeq and is a predicted model, not a curated record. NCBI's taxonomy places the organism in Eukaryota, Metazoa, Chordata, Actinopteri, Osmeriformes, Osmeridae.
GUCAUCUUUAGGUUCGAGACAGUGGGUUAUUCUUAUGUAGCACAGGCUUGCCACUAACAUGGAUCACACUGUUUCUCUAGCUAAAUAUCUAUGUGUGUCCCUCGUAUUUUGCAUGCAGAUUUUGAGUUUGUUUGGAGAUUCAGAUGUGGGAGUUAGAAGAGGUGGAAGGCUUCACUGGGUGGGUACUCAUCACUUAGCACGUCAAGGAGUUCAGCCUUCCAUUGAUCCUUCUGACGGGCAGAAUGACUCCCCUUUUCCUGGAGGGGUCAUGGAUCGCAUUGACGGUGACCGGAUUCUCCACGGCUUUGGAGGGUUUGGAGGACUUCCAAGGCAGAAAUUUGUGAACAGAGACCAUAGAGUGCGCUUUGGUCAGUUCAACUCAGACACACAUGGCUGUAAUGAUAUCCAAACCAGGAGCUGCAGAGUGCAUUCUAACUGUACAGGUUGCUUGGGUCUGUACACUUGUAACGUGGAUCUUGGAAAGUGCCAAUUGAAGGGACUAUCUCGUAAGACAGAUGGUUUCUCCCAGUCUCUGAGAGAUGCUUGAUAGAGAACACCACCAAAUCAAUGAUGUCAGUGUCCUAGAAAUGUUGUUACACCUUAAGACAUGUGGCUAUACUUUCUUACUAUAUAUAUACUAUAC